Molecule: long non-coding RNA, 554 nt
Filed under: Carica papaya (papaya)
Lineage: Eukaryota; Viridiplantae; Streptophyta; Magnoliopsida; Brassicales; Caricaceae
Description: long non-coding RNA (CPAP_LNC011880)
Source: RNAcentral
CAUAGCUUGUUGCUUGUAUGCUUGGCGACCUACAUAAACGAGCGGCUGUCUGUGUGUGAGGCCUGGCGAUCUGUACAAGCACAUGCCUCUUUGCAUGCAGUAAAGGUCUUCUAGCACGCCUAGCUUGCCUUCUCAUGCGAGAAAGGAUUCCGCGAGUGUGAAGUCCCCUUCUUGCACAUGCGACUGCUCGCAUAUGUGAACAAAGAGGUUUGCAUAUGCAGCAUGGAUGUCUGCCAUUCUUCAAGGCCAAUUGGCCUUGCUCCUCCCUUAGGUUGGGUCAAAAGUUGACCUUGUGAUUCUUCAAGUCACGAGUCUCUUCAUGGGCUUCAAGUCUUCUUUGAACAAACUUGGCAUAUUCUUUAGAAUAAUCUCAAUGUGGUUAAGGAUAUAGAUAUCUUCCUUUUUGAGAUGAUCCAAUUUAUAAAACUGAAAGAAUCUAGAAUUGCUUGCUUGUUUGGGUCUGCAUCUGCGUGUUGUGCAGUGUGCGUGUGUGGUGUCUUUGUGCUUAUGCAUGUAUGUUGUGCGCGUUGCACGCCCUUCUUCUCGUGCAGUAG